GGGCCCGCACAAGCGGUGGAGCAUGUGGUUUAAUUCGAUGCAACGCGAAAAACCUUACCUACUCUUGACAUACUUGGGAGCUCUUGUAAUGAGAGUGUGCCUUUUGGAACCAAGAUACAGGUGCUGCAUGGCUGUCGUCAGCUCGUGUCGUGAGAUGUUCCGUUAAGUCGGAUAACGAGCGCAACCCUCGUCCUAUGUUGCCAGCACGUAAUGGUGGGAACUCAUGGGAUACUGCCGGGGUCAACUCGGAGGAAGGUGGGGAUGACGUCAAAUCAUCAUGCCCCUUAUGUCUUGGGCUUCACGCAUGCUACAAUGGCCGGUACAGAGGGCUGCAAUACCGCAAGGUGGAGCGAAUCCCAAAAAGCCGGUCUCAGUUCGGAUUGAGGUCUGCAACUCGACCUCAUG
Molecule: ribosomal RNA, 405 nt
Filed under: uncultured bacterium
Lineage: Bacteria
Description: bacterial SSU rRNA
Rfam family: Bacterial small subunit ribosomal RNA
Source: RNAcentral